This 261-nucleotide ribosomal RNA is filed under the name uncultured archaeon. RNAcentral describes it as "partial 16S ribosomal RNA". It matches the Rfam family "Archaeal small subunit ribosomal RNA", at positions 748 to 1008 of the family's 1478-position model. The record is from RNAcentral.
CAGCCGUAAACUAUGCGCGUUAGGUGUACUGGUGACCACGAGUCACCGGGGUGCCGAAGGGAAACCGUGAAACGUGCCGCCUGGGAAGUACGGUCGCAAGGCUGAAACUUAAAGGAAUUGGCGGGGGAGCACCACAACGGGUGGAGCCUACGGUUUAAUUGGACUCAACGCCGGAAAUCUCACCGGAUAGGACAGACAUAUGAUAGUCGGGCUGAAGACUCUACUUGAUGAUCUGAGAGGAGGUGCAUGGCGUCAGUGACU